CAAAUAGUCAAGGCAGAAGUCUUUCAUCUUUAAAAUCUUCAGCCAUGAGCUUGUGGAGGAACGGUAACAAUGGUGGCGCUGAUGGAAGCAAUGCGGGGAGCACGGUAUUGGACCUGCAACUACGCCUCGCACAACCCACAGGGAGGAUAGAGGUUAACAGUGGCAAUGGUAGUGGCUCGUCAUCAUCUAGCUCAUGUGUGUCAUCAGAUAUUUCAUCAGUGCUGGUGCUCGGUGGAUGCAAACGGUGUUGGAGGUAUUGCAUGGUGAGCAAGGAGCUCCCAAUCUGCAUCAACUGCAAGCAGCCCUGCUUUAUCGGCUUCAACACUGAAGAGAAGCAUGGCUAGAGCAAGUGAAGGGAGGCUAGCAAGCUAGAGCUUAUUGGACUUGGUCUAUUUGGUUCAAUAGUAGGCUGGCUAGUAGAGUCUAAGCUUAGUUUCCUAUGUGGAGUAAGUUUUGUUCUUUUAUGGGGUAUGGACUAGGUGGUUCUUAAUGUUGUGGUAAUAAUGAUUGCAGUUGUCACAGUGCCCUGAUUAAUAAGUUUUUUUCCAAGAUUUGCUUGAAACAUGUUAUUUUGAAUUUGAAUAAAUACUUGGGUUCUUAUGAGUGAA
Molecule: long non-coding RNA, 608 nt
Organism: Zea mays
Lineage: Eukaryota; Viridiplantae; Streptophyta; Magnoliopsida; Poales; Poaceae
Exons: 2
Source: RefSeq, a predicted model, not a curated record